Molecule: ribosomal RNA, 427 nt
Filed under: uncultured bacterium
Lineage: Bacteria
Description: partial 16S ribosomal RNA
Rfam family: Bacterial small subunit ribosomal RNA
Source: RNAcentral
UGGGGAAUAUUGCACAAUGGGCGCAAGCCUGAUGCAGCCAUGCCGCGUGUAUGAAGAAGGCCUUCGGGUUGUAAAGUACUUUCAGCGGGGAGGAAGGCGAUAAGGUUAAUAACCUUGUCGAUUGACGUUACCCGCAGAAGAAGCACCGGCUAACUCCGUGCCAGCAGCCGCGGUAAUACGGAGGGUGCAAGCGUUAAUCGGAAUUACUGGGCGUAAAGCGCACGCAGGCGGUCUGUCAAGUCGGAUGUGAAAUCCCCGGGCUCAACCUGGGAACUGCAUUCGAAACUGGCAGGCUAGAGUCUUGUAGAGGGGGGUAGAAUUCCAGGUGAAGCGGUGAAAUGCGUAGAGAUCUGGAGGAAUACCGGUGGCGAAGGCGGCCCCCUGGACAAAGACUGACGCUCAGGUGCGAAAGCGUGGGGAGCAAACA